This 392-nucleotide ribosomal RNA is filed under the name uncultured bacterium. RNAcentral describes it as "bacterial SSU rRNA". It matches the Rfam family "Bacterial small subunit ribosomal RNA", at positions 362 to 769 of the family's 1533-position model. The record is from RNAcentral.
UAUUGCACAAUGGGCGAAAGCCUGAUGCAGCGACGCCGCGUGAGGGAAGACGGCCUUCGGGUUGUAAACCUCUGUCAUUCGGGACGAAUAGAUGACGGUACCGAAGAAGGAAGCUCCGGCUAAAUACGUGCCAGCAGCCGCGGUAAUACGUAUGGAGCAAGCGUUAUCCGGAUUUACUGGGUGUAAAGGGAGCGUAGGCGGUGCUAUAAGUCUGAUGUGAAAGCCCGGGGCUCAACCGCGGGACUGCAUUGGAAACUGUAGGACUGGAGUGUCGGAGGGGUAAGUGGAAUUCCUAGUGUAGCGGUGAAAUGCGUAGAUAUUAGGAGGAACACCGGUGGCGAAGGCGGCUUACUGGACGACAACUGACGCUGAGGCUCGAAAGCGUGGGGAGC